AGUACUCUCGAUAGGAGCGGGAUGAUGAGCAAGUGAAGCGCUGGCGGGGAAGGCAGCAGGGUGGGCGGCCAACCCAGCGCAGAACUAGUUCCGAGUAUGCAGCGCCACUUUACGUAAACAAGUGCAGACGGAACACGUGAGCCGGACACGAUGACCCAUUCCCCCCGAGAGCUGGGCGCCAAUCCUCUCGUGCUCCAUGGCACACCCAGCAAAAGCAGCACGCAGGAAGUUACAGUUGGGAUUAGUUAAGUCAUAUGUACAUAUUAUUUCAGCUACCGGGAAUUUUCAAUGACGAAUUUCCCGAAGGUCGUUCUAAAUCAGUUUUUGUGCCAAAAAAAAAAAACGAUGCUGCGUGCGAAAUAAUUAAACAAGAUCGUCAUAUGUGCACAUAUGUACAUAAUUAGCAUUGCGUAUUUUGGGGCAUUUGCUUGGAACUACAUAAUUGUUCAUAAU
This is a non-coding RNA of Drosophila melanogaster (fruit fly), 453 nucleotides long. NCBI's taxonomy places the organism in Eukaryota, Metazoa, Arthropoda, Insecta, Diptera, Drosophilidae. The record is from Ensembl.